UUGCUUCCACAGCACAUAUGCUAAAAAUUAGAACAAUACAGAGAAACUUAGCAUGGCCUCUGCACCAGGAUGGCAUGCAAAUUCCUGAAUCAUUCCAUUAAAAA
Molecule: small nuclear RNA, 104 nt
Organism: Rhinopithecus bieti (black snub-nosed monkey)
Lineage: Eukaryota; Metazoa; Chordata; Mammalia; Primates; Cercopithecidae
Source: Ensembl